Molecule: non-coding RNA, 89 nt
Filed under: Sexangularia sp. CB-2014
Lineage: Eukaryota; Tubulinea; Elardia; Arcellinida
Source: RNAcentral
UUCUUGUCUAUUUUUUUUGUCUUUUUUCUUCUUCUUUUUUUUUGACGUUAAUUGCUCUACUAUGGUACGACAGAAAGGUAGAUUUAAGC